RNAcentral lists this ribosomal RNA (128 nucleotides) under Entoloma sinuatum. RNAcentral describes it as "partial 28S ribosomal RNA". It matches the Rfam family "Eukaryotic large subunit ribosomal RNA", at positions 1 to 128 of the family's 3401-position model. Lineage: Eukaryota; Fungi; Basidiomycota; Agaricomycetes; Agaricales; Entolomataceae. The record is from RNAcentral.
UUGACCUCAAAUCAGGUAGGACUACCCGCUGAACUUAAGCAUAUCAAUAAGCGGAGGAAAAGAAACUAACAAGGAUUCCCCUAGUAACUGCGAGUGAACGGGAAAAGCUCAAAUUUAAAAUCUGGUAG